CCCUGGUGACACACCACCUGUGAGUCCCUUGGAAAGCAGAGCCACCCCACCCACACUCAGCAGCUGAAAAUGCCUGACUCUUGCUUCCCCAUCGUCCCCUGCAACCAGGAAAGGACACGCGACGGGGUCGGCCCGUAGGAGGCACCUGCCCCAGGUGUGGGGGUCCCUUCAGAAGCAGAGGCUUGGCUUCUGUUUCUGGCAAAACCCUGGCCGAUGACACCACCCCAUCUUCUCCCUCACGGCUCAGUUGUCCCCAGCACCUGCCUCCCCCCACCCAAGCGCAUGGAGCACGAAACAGCUGGGACCCCUCGCAGGUCCCACGGUUCAGCAGGUCCAAGGGAUCUCCUUCUCCUGAGACCUGGGGCUGGCACUGAGCACAGCCCAGUUUGGGGGCUUUGCUGAAGCAGCUCCUUCCCAGACCCUUCAUCUCCCUUCCAACACACUGAGUGACCUCUGGGGCACGGCCCCCGCUGACGCAGAGGAGGACCCUCUGGAGAGCCAGCAGCGUGGGGGUAGGGAGAGCCCUGGGGAGGUGCCGGGGCCCUUGCAGCUUCGGGAGGCUGUGCAUCCUCUCCACCAUGUGCCUGAUUGCCCCACGUCCGUCACCCACAUCCUGCCUCAUAACCACAGCCUCACCGGGACAGCGACAUCUCCCGGACACGUCUUCCUGUGGCUUCUUCACGGAUCCCUGGCUCCUGUCUGCCUCUCGGGGUCCCUGCAGCCCGCGGUCACUGUGGUGCUGGCACGCAGGCCACCUUCCCUCGGCCCACUCCCAGCCGGCCCCCACCCCCUGCCUGAGGCCCUGAGGGAGGCCCCCUCUACCUGCCCCACGGGGAAGCCAGAAGUGCCCCCGCCCCGGCCCAGAACAGCCUUCACCCAAUGGCUGAUGGGAGGUGGG
Molecule: long non-coding RNA, 898 nt
Organism: Canis lupus familiaris (dog)
Lineage: Eukaryota; Metazoa; Chordata; Mammalia; Carnivora; Canidae
Exons: 3
Source: RefSeq, a predicted model, not a curated record